This 379-nucleotide ribosomal RNA is filed under the name uncultured Halomicronema sp. Its description in RNAcentral is "bacterial SSU rRNA". It matches the Rfam family "Bacterial small subunit ribosomal RNA", at positions 376 to 770 of the family's 1533-position model. Lineage: Bacteria; Bacillati; Cyanobacteriota; Cyanophyceae; Nodosilineales; Nodosilineaceae. The record is from RNAcentral.
CGAAAGCCUGACGGAGCAACGCCGCGUGAGGGAAGAAUGCCUGUGGGUUGUAAACCUCUUUUCUCAGGGAAGAAGAACUGACGGUACCUGAGGAAUCAGCAUCGGCUAACUCCGUGCCAGCAGCCGCGGUAAGACGGAGGAUGCAAGCGUUAUCCGGAAUUAUUGGGCGUAAAGCGUCCGCAGGUGGCUGUUCAAGUCUGCUGUCAAAGCGCAGAGCUUAACCCUGGAAAGGCGGUGGAAACUGAAGCGCUAGAGUGUGGUAGGGGUAGAGGGAAUUCCCAGUGUAGCGGUGAAAUGCGUAGAUAUUGGGAAGAACACCGGUGGCGAAAGCGCUCUACUGGGCUACAACUGACGCUGAUGGACGAAAGCUAGGGGAGCG